Molecule: microRNA precursor, 158 nt
Filed under: Triticum aestivum (bread wheat)
Lineage: Eukaryota; Viridiplantae; Streptophyta; Magnoliopsida; Poales; Poaceae
Description: MIR2118 microRNA precursor family
Rfam family: MIR2118 microRNA precursor family
Source: Rfam by way of RNAcentral
AUUAGGCAAAAGGAAGCCAAGAGUAUCUUAGAGCGAUGGGCGUGGGAACAUGGAGGAAAGCCUAUACUUGUUGGCCUCUAAAUUUAGGGGCCAAAAUUAUUUUGUGUUUUCCGGAUGCCUCCCAUGCCUAUUGUUCUUCCUUCCUUUUCCUAUUUUCU